This 253-nucleotide ribosomal RNA is filed under the name uncultured bacterium. RNAcentral describes it as "partial 16S ribosomal RNA". It matches the Rfam family "Bacterial small subunit ribosomal RNA", at positions 524 to 776 of the family's 1533-position model. The record is from RNAcentral.
UACGAAGGAGGCUAGCGUUGCUCGGAAUCACUGGGCGUAAAGCGCACGUAGGCGGACUCUUAAGUCGGUGGUGAAAUCCUGGAGCUCAACUCCAGAACUGCCUCGAUACUGGGAGUCUCGAGUCCGGGAGAGGUGAGUGGAACUGCGAGUGUAGAGGUGAAAUUCGUAGAUAUUGGCUGGAACACCGGUGGCGAAAGCGGCUCUCUGGCCCGGUUCUGACGCUGACGGCGCGAAAGCGUGGGGAGCAAACAGG